Molecule: long non-coding RNA, 7487 nt
Organism: Canis lupus familiaris (dog)
Lineage: Eukaryota; Metazoa; Chordata; Mammalia; Carnivora; Canidae
Exons: 11
Source: RefSeq, a predicted model, not a curated record
GCCGCCCAGCGCCUCGGGGCCUCGGGGCCUCGGGGCCUCGGGGCCUCCCCCGCCCGGGCCCUCCGUGCUGUCGGCCUUUCCGUCUCGUUAGCAGCCAGACGUCCUCUCCGCCGCGGCCCGGGCGUUCUCUCUUCAAACCCCAGGUCGACUUGGUAGCGGCUCAGGGCGCCCUGCGAGUCCCCCGGUGAGCCGGUGGGGCCGGGCGGUGCGCUCCCUACUCCUCCGCCUUCCUGCCCCUCACCAGAUACCAGCUUUUGAAGAACCUGAUGAGGCAAGAAUGUGUUAGGGGGAGUGGCUGUGUGCGUGGGCCCUGGAAUCGGACUAGAAGCCCGUUUCUUGCCUCCAAACACAUGCAUUGGAAACAGACAUGGAGGUGAAUAUUGAACCCAUCUAAAACAAUUUGGAAUGGCAGCUAAUUUGCCAAAAAGCGGUUUUGUAACCCGGCAAGAACUGCUAUUGCUUCAAAGGCACUAGACUCCUCCUCACAGAGAGGAUUGAGGGAAGACAAUGUAAAGACACUGGAGAAAGGUGGCCAUCUACAAGCAAAGGAGGAAGCCUUAGAAGAAGCCCCACCAACAGCUUGAUCCUGGGCUCCUAGAAUUCUCUGGUGUCAGAAGAGGGAACUGAAGGAGAUCCCCUGGUGGCCCCCUGAAGUGCUCCGUCAAUCUGUGCAAAUGUGUGUUUUGUGGAGUUAUCUUACUCCAGACAAGAUGUUCUUGGCUGAACUUCAGGACAUCCUGAUUCUGUUUACAGACGACUUCUGUAACCAAAAGUACUCAAGGGACAACACCUCCAUUCAUGAACUCAGCAACUGCAUUAGGCCAUACCAGGCUGGCACUUCAGUUGCAGUAGUCAACAUCACUGGUGUCAAGGAUGCCAAGAGCCCACCAGACCAAAAUAAGCAUUAUUAAAGACAUCCAACAAGAAGCAACUCCAAAUGGAAGGCAAGAUUCCUCCCUCAGAUAGACUCAUCAAGAAGCGUUAUACCACUGAAUGCAUGCAUUGAGCAGGCUUUGCUACCUGUCUGCCUCGGGUAUGGAUUAGCCAUAGGUACAUGGGAAAACAUGAUGUCAAGAUAAUGGGACUGGCAGCAACUCCCCAUUGCCUCACGGGUUACAUCUUGCACGCAUCCUACCCUGGAAGAGGACCUGAUCAUCACAGUGAACUUGGACCAUCCCCAUAGGAAGCGCUGUUGGGCUUCAUCGGUUCAUAGGCAGAGGCUGCCCUCAGCCCACCAUAGGGCUGCCUGUGGUCCAUUCCUCAACACCCACACUGUUGGGUGGGGCAGGCCCAGGGAUUCCCACAACAUGGUAUGAGCAAACUCAUUGCACCUAGGGCAGCGUUCCUCAGAAGGAAGAUCUGAGCACAAGAGCAGGCAGUAGAUGCCCUGUGUGCGUAUCUUUAGAGUCAAGUGUGGGUGAUUUACUGCUCUUCUGAGUUAUCUGUGCGAUUGUUCCUCUCUACCGAGCAUCUUUCUUCAUUGUUUUGUCUUGUUUUUGUUUUUAGUGUGAUGUUUCACUAUGUGUGGGCUUGUAGAAGCCGAUCAGAAAGUCUCAACUGAUUCUCUGAGUACAGGCUCUGGGGACUUACUGGAAAUGACUGUGUGUUAAUGCCGGGUUUGGAGGGAAGGUUUUUCCAAUUUGCUAAGCGCACUUUUCUUAACACCUAGGAACCCUAAUGGGGCAGGAGAGGAGAAAGUGAGAGGCUUCCUGUGGAGGCUUCCUGGGUUGUCAAGUGGAGCAUACUUACUAGAUUUUCCCUGCAUGGAUCCCUGUGCACUUUACAAAUCUGGUAGAUUUGCUUUUUCAAAUCUUUUUAACUUGCUGCACCUGUGGGCUUUCACUGCCCGUGACUGCCACCUGCUGGAACCAGCCUGGAAUUGCCUGCUGGCCCACCUUGCCAGCGCAGGAGGUGUGAGAGAACAGAUUGUCAAAUUCAUUCCAGGGCAUUCAUUCCAGAGGGAGCCUCUAAACUGGCCUUGACUCACAAGAAUCUGUUUUUUAAUAGUCUUUUGGAGACCCAAAGUCUACAAAUCCCUCUGAUAACUCAUCUGAGAGUUUAAUCACCUUCCCUCAGAAAUAUUUUUCCCACUUGGGAUCUCAAUGAUGCUUCUGUUUAGCUUAAUUUGCCACUGAUCUGUCUUGAUCAGGGAUGAAAAGCAACUGCUGUCAAUUUUCUGGGUAAAAGCUCUUUAUAAGCCUGGAGAAAGAUCAAUGAAUGUGUCUCACUUCUCCAGAAAGGUCCCAAGUUUUAUUUUCCUUUAAAUUGACUUCCUUGAGCAUAUUUUAAAAUGUAUUUAUCAUUUCUGUGGCUCUCCUCUGAAUGUUAUCAACUUCUCAACAUUUCUCCUUAGUAUGGAUCUGGCCAACGCCAAACACAAUGCUUCCAACAUCAUACAUGCUCUUCAGGUGACCACUCCUUUGGCAAAAAUUUUCUGAGUACUUACUAUGUGUGAGGUACACAGGCAAGGCUUUGUGGGUUAGAAGAAUCAGUCUCAAACUUUCCAAAAAGAGAGAAGAGAGAAAGCUACAAUGCCUGCCCAGAGAUCACUCUGACAGCGUGUGAGACGGGUCCAGGCGCUGGUACCCCUAGAGGCCAAGGGGAAAAAAUGAAUACGUUGAGCAUCCACUAGGCUUCAUAUAGGCAGUGGGGACCAAACUGGUCUUUGAGGUUGUGAUAUUGUGAUUGAUAAUAAGAAUCAUAUAUUUGGUCUUCCACCCUUUUGGUCUCAAAGUUCCUAAACCCUUGGAAUUAAUUUCCUGUGAUGAGAGCAAUAAAGGUAUUUCUUGUUACGUUAAUGAAGUGACUUCCUCAGGAUGGGUGCUGGUUGCUAGGGAACCAACAGUAGGGAUUAGAGGACUGGAACUUUCAUCCUCGACCUCCCCCUUUACACACAACUUGGAGAGGGAGAGGAAAGGGAUUGGAGACAUAUUUCAAUCACCAGUGGCCAAUCAUGCCUAAUGAAUGGAGGUAAUGAAGACUCCAUAAAUCCCAAAAAGGACAGAGGAUUUAGGAGAGCUUCUAGGUUGGUGAACACGUGGAGAUUUGCAGAGAGCAGGUUGGAGGGCAUGGAAGUUCUGCACCCUCCCCCCUUAUCUUGUACCUUGCCAUAAGCAACUCUCCCAUCUGGCUGUUCCUGAGUUACACCCUUUCACAAUUACACCAGUUAUCUGACAGCAGAGAAGACCCAGAGAAGGCCGUGUCAAGAUGCAGGGAGAGAUCAGAGUUAUGCAGUCAGUCACAAGCCAAGAAUUCUUGGAACAAUAGAAGCUGGAAGAGGAAAGGAAAGAUUCUUCCCUGGGGACUUUUAGAGGGAACAUAGCCCUGCCGACACCUUACUUCAAACUUCUAGCCUCCAGAACGCUACAGAGGUAAAAGAUUCAUUGAAUACUUCCAAAGAGGCUAUUGACUUUCAGCCUCUUCCCUGAUUUGAAUAUCCAAGGUUGAUAAUUUGUCCUUUUCUCUGUUUAUGUUCUCUGGGCUUCUUAAGUAACCAGCCUACGCCACAAUCUAUGUAAUCUAAAUCAUCUGACAAAAGAAUGCAUGCCACAGUCACAUGAUCUCUGCCUUUCACCUGCACACCACCUCAUGCAACAGCUGUUGAAAUUUGAGUGACUAUUAUUCUAUCACAUACUUUGUUAUGCAUUCUACCUUGGCAAGGAGAUAAUCUGUGCUCUCAUCAAAUACACGAGCAACCUAAUCACAGAAUCCCAUUUUGGAGAUCUGUUUUCGGUAGCAAAUCCUGGUUUCAUUUACUGGAUCAGCUAGUUUUCCAGCAGCAAACAGAUGGUAUGCUCAAAAGAGAAAACAAAAGAGAGUUUAAAGAAGGGACAUUGACAAGAGUGUGGGCAAGUUGUUACCAACAGGAAAUGGUAAAAUACUGCUAGCAAGAGUAGAAUGUUGUUACCACCCUUGGCUUGAAGGUACCCAGGAUGAACAUUUGCUGGAACUUAAGGCUGAAGGUGUACAGAAGGCCAUCUAGCAGAAGCUGUGGCUCUUGGUAUAGGAAUGCAGCCACUGCGAAGAGUGAUGGGAAGGAAGAUCAAGAACUAAGAGCCCUGACAUUGCUUCCCUCAUACCUUCUGAUCACCUGUUGAUGCCUCCCAGUGGACAAACCCAAUCAGAAGCCAGAGGAAGGGGAGUCAGCUAGUUGAUGGAGUCCAAGGAGGUUAGUCUCACAAGGCUCAAAGUAGGAUGAAGCUAGAGAGUAGAUCUAGAGGGGAAAAGCAGAAUUCUCAGCAGCAUGUUUACUGGCUGGCUAUCGAAGCCCAAAAACAUACAGAGAGCAAUAGCCAAUAUGUCAAUCAAUGGGUCUGACAGUCACCAAUUGGGGUAUGAAUAAAGUAUAAUGGAACCAAAGAUUCUAGCUUUCCAGCUCCUACUCUUUCUUUCCAGGACCACCAAAACAGGAGAAAGCAAAAAGCACAUGACUUCCUGAGGCUGAAUAUGUGUCUAUGUGUGUACCUUUCCCCUAUUAAACCAACUUCCAGAGUCUGGAAGGUCCAUGUGCUUAGGGAUCAAACAGCUGACUCUCAGCACUGACAUUUACAACUUACAUGACAAUGGGCAAGUUACUUCAUUACUUUAAACAUCAAUCGCAUUAUCUGUACAGUUCAGAAUAUUAAUCACCCUAACAAAAAUGUUGCAAAGGGUAAAUGAAAUAAUGGAAAGUUCUUAAUAGGGUUUUUCAUACAUGGUAAAUACCCUUUAAAUGUUUCUUUUCCAUAUUGACCUUUUUUCUUGUGCUGCAGCAUCCACUGUGUAAAACAUAUUUGAAACUCAUUUUUUGAGAGAACCCAUUCUGAGUUCCGGUCAGUUUAUAAAAUAGAAAUGUUUUAAAUAUAACUUGUUUUUAAAUUGAGAGGGGUCUGUAUUUAGACAAAACUUAUAAAGGGAUGGUUAAUGGUCAUAUUUUCAUAAAUGAUAGGAUCCCUCUAACUGGGAUAGAGUUCACUCUGCAAGAAAAUAGAUAAUUACAUAAGAAAAACUACAUAACAAAAAGAAGUAACCUGAAAUCUGUGUAUUAAACUCUAUAGAAAAUACUCUGGAGGAACAGCCCCAAAGCUAUUCAACUCCAAAGACUGGAGCAGCAUUAGAGAAUUGUGAGCAAUGAAAGCAGAGUCCCAUUUAUUUUUCUGUAUAUUUAAAUACUGCUUAAAUAUUUUACAAUGAACAUGCAUUUGUUGUGCCUAACUUUUAAAAACAUUUGAAAUUCUUGCAUGGCCCCAGAGCAAGACAAAGUGUCAAUAUUAUGGACAAAGCAAGAUGUCUACUGUAAAGAACAGUAAUGAACUACAUGUAAAGAAAUGAUGAUAUAUAAUCAAUAAGACAGUAUAAGGCUCAUUUACUUACCAAAAAGGAAAAGGAUUUUAAUGAUUUAUAUAUGGUAUGUGAACUAAUGCUGUUAGCCCUUACAUUACACUAUAAGUUCCAGAAGAAUAUUUCUAUUUAUUCCUACUUAUCCCUAACACCUAGUAUAAUAAGUGUUAUAUGCUUAGUAAGCCAGUGCUGUAUGAAUGAAUGUUUUUUUAAAUUGAGAGACGGAGUGAUGUAUUGAACAGAAUACCGUAAGUCAGUUGUCAUGAAUACUCUACAAGUCCCUGAGCCUUGGUUCUAUCAUCAAUAAAAUAGAAGAGUUGAUAACAUGAGGAAUUUCAAGACUAAUUUUUUUAAAGAUUUUAUUUAUCUAUUCAUGAGAGACACUGAGAGAGAGAGAGCAGAGACACAGGUAGAGGGAGAAGUAGGCCCCGUGCAGAGAGCCCAACGCAAGACUCGAUUCCCGGUCCCCAGGAUCACGUCCUGGGCCGAAGGCUACGCUAAACCACUGAGCCACCCGGGCUGCCCAAGACUAAUGUUAAUAAACCCAUAAGUAUCUAAAGUUUUAAGAACUGACAUUGAGCCCCCAAUUAUUUAUUAUACCAAGUAAAGAUUUAAAAAAUCACAUUUUCACUAUUAUUUCAUAAACAAAUGUAAAAGAGAAAUAAAUCAGAAUAAAGAAGUUUCUUCCUAAGAAAAGACGAUUGAUUGGCAGCCUUACACUAGUGCAUAUGCACACACACACAUACACAGACACACAACUGUAUAAUAAAUUUGACAAAGAUUCAUGGAAGAUUUUGAAUCAAAGGAUUAAAUGAACUCUGAGGUCACUUCAUCUCUAAGAUUUUAUGAACACAGUUUUAUUUCCCUUAGACUUACUUAAUGGUUUUAUUUUCCAGUGGGAAAAUAUGUCCUUAAUUGCUGAAAAACAAAAAAUCCAACAACACUGAUGUGUACAAAGUGGAAAAUAAAGCUCACUCCAAGGCCCCCAACUCCUACAAAUGAAGUGUGGCUCAUCAUACUCUAGGCCAUUUUCUGUAAAGAUAUAAACAUGUGAGACGCCUGGGUGGCUCAGCGGUUGAGCAUCUGCCUUUGGCUCAGGGUGUGAUCCCGGAGUCCGAGGAUCAAGUCCCACAUUGGGCUCCCUGCAUGAAGCCUGCUUCUCUCUCUGCCUGUGUCUCUGCCUCUCUCUCUAUGUCUUUCAUGAAUAAAUAAAUAAAAUAUUUUGAAAAAGAUAUAAACAUGCAUAUACUGGCAUAGCUUUUUAAAGAAAUAGAACUUACUCUAAACUAUUAAGCUUGCAAAGUAGAGAGUCACAUAUGUAGUAAUGAUCAACUGAACUGAAUAUAACAUUUAGGGAAAAUAUUUGUUGGGCUCAAUUGAGGAGAGUGGCUCUUUGCCCUAAAUUCCUCAUAGCUGGUCAGGAGGCUUAAGUUUGGAAAUUUUUCUGAUCUUAGCAGGUAAUUCAUUACUGUGUGCUGCACCUCAGACCCCAAGAUCUUUUCUUGGGAUAAAUAUCUGCCAAAGAAGAUAAAAAAGCUGAGGCAUGUCCAAAGACAGGAGAGCCAUGUGGAUUUUCGAAACAGAACUGAAAGGGGUCAGUGAAGUAAUCCUCCCAGGCUAGCCAGAAAUCAAGGGGCAAAAAAUGUGUCUUGAAGUGGGGUGAUGGCCUCAUCAGAGAGUCAGAAAUCUAUGGCUGUGUUUAGGGACACACACUUAGUGAAGGGGAUCAAUGUUCCUCUAUAGAAGCUCACAUUAUCUACUAAUUCUCUAAAAAAGCACGUGUCAGGACUAGGAAGCAACUAGAGAUAAGGCCUAAGAGGCCUGUGAGAGGCUAAAGCAGCAGCCCCGAAAUGCCAUGAGAUAUUAAAUGUCUUUCCCAGAUUUCAAAAUGUGAAAGUGGCAAAGUGGAAGAGUUUUCAAGCCACUGAAUUGGAGCUGCCAAUUUGGUUCCAUACACUGGCCAUGUUUGCAUAGACAAAUAAAGGCAAAGAAAAGUGGAAACCAUCAGCUUGAACUGGGGCAUGAAUGAUCCCUGUUAGCUUUUUCCAUUGAUUCAAAUUUAGCAAAUGACUACAUACUUUGCCUGGGUUGAAAUACCUCAAUGUAUUUAGUAUACAUAACUUUGUCAUUUAAAUGCCAAGAAUGUUGUUCAUGCUUAAUAAAUGAGA